UAGGAGAGGUGGUGCGCCUGCGUGAAGGAGGCUGAGGCAGUAAGGCGGAGGCGGGACCUAAGGGGGCGCACUCGACUAAUUCCCAGCCUCCCAUGCAGUCGCGUUGGACCACAAGAUGGAGUUCUGGCCAAUGGAAUGUGGGCAGACGGGAUGGGCACACCCCCAGGCCCGCCUUCCUCUCCAACGCCUUGUCAGCCCAGCUGAGAGUGACAGUGGAAUCAGAACAAGGCAGGUCCCUGAAUUCCUCCCUGUGCCUCACAUUCACGGAGCCCAGUUCCUCCGGCAAUCCCUGUGCAAUGAUGAGAGUGG
Molecule: long non-coding RNA, 309 nt
Organism: Hyaena hyaena (striped hyena)
Lineage: Eukaryota; Metazoa; Chordata; Mammalia; Carnivora; Hyaenidae
Exons: 3
Source: RefSeq, a predicted model, not a curated record